GGCCAGACUCCUACGGGAGGCAGCAGUGAGGAAUAUUGGUCAAUGGCCGAGAGGCUGAACCAGCCAAGUCGCGUGAGGGAUGACGGCCCUACGGGUUGUAAACCUCUUUUGUCGGGGAGCAAAGAGAGUCACGUGUGGCUCAUUGAGAGUACCCGAAGAAAAAGCAUCGGCUAACUCCGUGCCAGCAGCCGCGGUAAUACGGAGGAUGCGAGCGUUAUCCGGAUUUAUUGGGUUUAAAGGGUGCGCAGGCGGAGGUGCAAGUCAGUGGUCAAAUUGCGGGGCUCAACCCCGUACUGCCGUUGAAACUGCAUCCCUUGAGUGCGCGAGAAGUAUGCGGAAUGCGCAGUGUAGCGGUGAAAUGCUUAGAUAUUGCGCAGAACUCCGAUUGCGAAGGCAGCAUACCGGCGGCGAUCUGACGCUGAGGCACGAAAGCGUGGGUAUCGAACAGGAUUAGAUACCCCCGUAAAA
Molecule: ribosomal RNA, 468 nt
Filed under: uncultured bacterium
Lineage: Bacteria
Description: bacterial SSU rRNA
Rfam family: Bacterial small subunit ribosomal RNA
Source: RNAcentral